Molecule: ribosomal RNA, 468 nt
Filed under: uncultured bacterium
Lineage: Bacteria
Description: partial 16S ribosomal RNA
Rfam family: Bacterial small subunit ribosomal RNA
Source: RNAcentral
GACGAACGCUGGCGGCGUGCUUAACACAUGCAAGUCGAACGGAAAGGCCCUGCUUUUGUGGGGUGCUCGAGUGGCGAACGGGUGAGUAACACGUGAGUAACCUGCCCUUGACUUUGGGAUAACUUCAGGAAACUGGGGCUAAUACCGGAUAGGAGCUCCUGCUGCAUGGUGGGGGUUGGAAAGUUUCGGCGGUUGGGGAUGGACUCGCGGCUUAUCAGCUUGUUGGUGGGGUAGUGGCUUACCAAGGCUUUGACGGGUAGCCGGCCUGAGAGGGCGACCGGCCUCAUUGUUACUGAGAUGCGGACCAGAGUCCUACGGGAGGCAUCGGUGGAGAAUAUUGCACAAUAGGCGGAAGCCUGAAGCAACAACGCCGCGUGCGGGAUGACGGCCUUCGGGUUAUAAACCGCUUUCGCGUGUAACGAGGCUUGCGUGACGGUAGUGGGUAAAGAAGCACCGGCUAACUACGUA